Molecule: long non-coding RNA, 4440 nt
Organism: Anguilla rostrata (American eel)
Lineage: Eukaryota; Metazoa; Chordata; Actinopteri; Anguilliformes; Anguillidae
Exons: 5
Source: RefSeq, a predicted model, not a curated record
GACGUUUGUCACUCGUGCCUCAUCCAGUAUUCUCCACUGCAAGACUUGUCUGCACAGAUUCGAUUGCCCCAAUAAAGACUGAACAACUGUGAACUCACACAGAAGUGCUGUAAUAUUGUGGCCUCAGCUCUCCAGUCAUCAGACUCACCCCUGAGAGAUCUGGACCUCAGCUACAAUAACCUGCGAGAUUCAGGAGUGAAGCUGCUCUGUGCUGGACUGAAGAGUCCAAACUGUAAACUGCAGAGACUGGGACUGAACAGCUGUAAACUCACACAGAAGUGCUGUAAUAUUGUGGCCUCAGCUCUCCAGUCAUCAAACUCGCCCCUGAGAGAUCUGGACCUCAGCUACAAUAACCUGGGAGAUUCAGGAGUGAAGCUGCUCUGUGCUGGACUGAGGAGUCCAAACUGUAAACUACAGAGACUGGGACUGAACAACUGUAAACUCACACAGAAGUGCUGUGAUAUUGUGGCCUCAGCUCUCCAGUCAUCAAACUCACCCCUGAGAGAUCUGGAUCUCAGCUGCAAUAACCUGGGAGAUUCAGGAGUGGACAUGGAGAAUAUAGGCUGGGUUGGUGUAAUCUCACAGAGGGCUGCUGUGAUGUUCUGGCCUCAGUCCUGCGUUCUCCUCACUCAAAGCUGAGAGAUCUGGAGCUCAGAGACAACGAGCUGCAGGAUUCAGGAGUGAGAGCGCUGUCUGCUGGACUGGAGGACCCACACUGUAAACUGCAGAGACUGGGGUGAGUACAAACACAAACCCCUUCAAUCCAAAGGGCUACAAUGUGACUAAAUACAACACUGAUGUCAAUGUUCCUAAUGUGAAAACAGACACUUCACGGAACUGAAACAGCAUGUUCCUGUUCUUCCUCUUGGUAGAAUUUGACUACACAAAUGAAUGAAGAAAAUGAAUUAGUCCUGUUUACUGAACUGUAGUGGGGUGUAAACUCAAAUGUGUUUGAUAAUGACUCAUUCCACAUUCAUGUUAUUUUAGUUUAACACGCACAGCCCUGUUAGUUUAUAUUAUAUUACAUUUAUUUGCCAGACGCUUUUAUCCAAAGUGACGUACAAUAAGUGCAUACAAAAGGUAAUUGGAACAACUACAUAACACAGGUCCAAUAAGGUACACAGGGUUCGUACGGUCAUGAAAAACCUGGAAAAGUCAUUGAAAUUUAAAGUGCAAUUUCCAGGCCCUGGAAAAGUUAUGGAAAAUAAUAUUUUUUGAAAAGUUUUGGAAAAGUAAUGGAAAUAUAGCUAAAGUUGCAUCAAAUAUAAUUACUAAUUAAUCCAAUCAUAAAAAUAGUAUGUAUAGUAAUAAAAUGUAAAUUGGCACGUAACCUUCGCGGUAUUUUGGUGGUGUGAGAAGUUAAUUCGGUCCGGCUCAGUCUGUUUACAGGCACGCCUCUGCUGAUGUAGCAGUUAGUAAACGUAGGCCCUACUGUGCCGACAAUAUGCCAGGUGUGCAGCUUCAGUAAUAUAUCAGGGCUCGAAAUUAACUUUUUUACUUGGUAGCACUGGUGCUCCCAACUUCAAAAACUUAGGAACACCCACCGAAAUGUAAGGAGCACCAACAAUAUAUGCAAUAGAUUUUUUAUUAAUAAAAACGACAAUAUAACAGUACGGUUUACAAGGAACAGUUAAACUGUCACGCAUAAAAUGUGUCGACUCUUCAAGGAAUUGCGUGUUAUCCAUUCAAACGACAAAGCGCUUCUCGUCACAUUAAUUCCGCUAAUUAAAUCAGUAAACUGCAUCGGAGAAAUUAGCUGUUCCAACCGGGUCGCUACACAAAACGUCCGCUUCAACUUUUCAGCUUUCGAUAACGCUAAUAAAUUGAACAUAAACUUUUGUCUUCAGGUAACAUUAGUUACGCGUCGCGUGACAGUGGAGUGCAGGGAAAGGGAGUGAUUGAAGGCUAAUAUUAACCUAUUUAAAAUCAGCAUUAAAGGUAAGAAUGUCAAGCUCGCGAUUGGUUAGAAGGGUCACCGUCAGCUCACAAGGGACAUGCUGAGCGUAUUAGCGAAUGUACAGAGAAAGAGACGUUCGACUGGAAAAAGAAAAAAAAAGGUCGCACCAGAACAAUUAUUUGCACUCGCACAAAUGCUCCCAAUUAUAUUUCGAGGUCGCACAGAUUCAAUUUCGGGAGCAUAUGCGACCAAAAUGGUCGCAAUUUCGAGCCCUGUUUGAGACAUUGACAAAAAUGUUAAACUAUUCGAAUUAAAAUAUAAGAGAAUGUAUCUAAGUGUGUCUGUCUGGUGUUUGUUUGUUUUAGAGAGGCACCAUAUGUUUCAGAUGCAGACCUAAUUUUACUUAGUGUUAUUUAUUUAUUUAUUGACCUUUCAGCAUUAUUACAGGUUCAUAAAGACAGUUGUCAUUAAAAACACUGAAUUAUUUUGCUGUUGCAAUAAAACAUCAAUACUAAGUAGACAAAAAAUUUUAAAUAUUGCAAUUAUCUAAACUGAGAUCUAAUCUCGUAUCCCAAAUUUAAAUUUAAAAUCCGCUGUCAUUUAGGAGUCUGCACAUAUAGGGGAUUGGUGAUCUCCUGUAUCUCUCAGUUCGACAUCUUGGGAUGGCCAGUUGGUUUGAAUUCCUUGCCUGACGACCUGUGAGCUCCUCCCUGAGGGGGGGUAGCCAGUCACUGAAGUUGGACUUGAGCAGCUUUCUGGCAAAGCCAAGACACAGUUGAGUGCGUCUCUUUGAUAGAGUGCACAAUCCGAGAGUGCAGAGAGCCUGUGGGUACCCUGAGUACCUCUGGCCAAGUAUGAUUUUACAAGCCCGUUUCUGCGUGCUUUCCAGCCUUUUAGCCUGGUCUGUAGUGAGGGAACUGUGCCAGACGGGGACUGCAUACUCCAGCACCGGGCGUACGUAGCCUAUGUAGAUGGAAACCAGUUCUGGGUCUCGGACACCAAAUUUCUUCAGGCGACGCAGAGCAAAAAGCUUCCUGUUCGCUGAGGUCAGCAUGUGGUCCACCUGACUGUCCCAAUGCAAAUUACUCUGGAUGGUGACCCCCAGGACCUUGACAGUGUCACAGACUUCCACGAUGUUCUGGUCAAUGGAGAGAGUCGGCAGGGCGGGUGGAUGCCUCAUGUGGGUGACUUUACAUUUCUUUGGGUUGAGUUUCAUUUUGUGCUCCUCUACCCAGAUAUCAAGACCAUUCAGGGUCUGUUGGAGGGUACAGGGUAGUUGGAGCUGUUACAAUAAAUAAUUUUAAAUCGUCCCACUGAGAUAAAGUCAUUUGUUUUGGUCAUGGAAAUUCAGUUAAAGGUUGUGGAGAAGUCAUGGAAAAGUCAUUGAAAAUCAUUGGUGAAAAAGUGUAUGAACCCUGGGUACAAUACUUUGCACAGUUAUUCAUAGCCAUGAACAUAUUAAGUCUAGUUCACACAGUGAACAUUACUCUGACCUAACCUAUGCUAAGUCAAACUAGGAGGCAUUACAAGCAACAUCUAGACAAUGAUACAAGGCACAAUAAGUGCUGGAUGGAGGUACAUGUAACAUGAGUGGCACAGGAGGUACAUGUGUAGAAAUAGGGGGAUUUAAGUGAUAGAAAUGAUCUACAGAGUGGUGAUAGUUAGUCCAGGUAUAGUCUGAAGAGAUGCAUCUUCAGACCACGGCAGAAGAUGGGUAGUGAGGGAGAGGUUCGUAGAGGAACAGGGAGUUCGUUCCACCACUGGAGAGCUAGGGUGGAGAAGCUCCAUGGUAGAGACAAGAUUGAACCCUUUACCCGGAUGGCAGGGGGUGCAAGGCAGUGGUCAAGUGGCCGUAUAGGAUUUAAUCAUGUGCUGUAAGUAGACGGGCUGUUGGCUGCAGUGUAGGUGAGGGUCAGGACAUUGAACCUGCAGUGACUGGUAUCCAGUGGAGUGACCUCAGCAGGGGAGAACUUGGGAAGCUUGAAGGCAAUUAAUGUGUGUAAGGUGUGUAACAUACUGCUAUGUGUUUGUCACACAGCCCUGUUACUUUAUAUUAAUGUGUGUAAGGUGUGUAACACACUGCUAUGUGUUUGACACACACAGCCCUGUUAGUUUAUAUUAAUGUGUGUAAGGUGAGUGACACACUACUAUAUGUUUGACACACACAGCCCUGCUAGUUUAUAUUAAUGUGUGUAAGGUGUGUAACACACUACUAUGUGUUUGACACACAGAGCCCUGUUAGUUUAUAUUAAUGUGUGUAAGGUGUGUAACACACUGCUAUGUGUUUGACACACACAGCCCUGUUAGUUUAUAUUAAUGUGUGUAAGGUGUGUAACACACUGCCAUGUGUUUGACACACACAGCCCUGUUAGUUUAUAUUAAUGUAAGGUGUGUAACGCACUGCUAUGUGUUUGACACACAGAGCCCUGUUAGUUUAUAUUAAUGUGUGUAAGGUGUGUAACACACUGCUAUGUGUUUGACACACACAGCCCUGUUAGUUUAUAUUAAUGUGUGUAAGGUGUGUAACACAUUGCUAUGUGUUU